CACUCCUGCGGGAGGCAGCAGUGGGGAAUAUUGGACAAUGGGCGCAAGCCUGAUCCAGCCAUGCCGCGUGAGUGAUGAAGGCCCUAGGGUUGUAAAGCUCUUUCACCGGUGAAGAUAAUGACGGUAACCGGAGAAGAAGCCCCGGCUAACUUCGUGCCAGCAGCCGCGGUAAUACGAAGGGGGCUAGCGUUGUUCGGAUUUACUGGGCGUAAAGCGCACGUAGGCGGACUAUUAAGUCAGGGGUGAAAUCCCGGGGCUCAACCCCGGAACUGCCUUGAUACUGGUAGUCUUGAGUUCGAGAGAGGUGAGUGGAAUUCCGAGUGUAGAGGUGAAAUUCGUAGAUAUUCGGAGGAACACCAGUGGCGAAGGCGGCUCACUGGCUCGAUACUGACGCUGAGGUGCGAAAGCGUGGGGAGCAAACAGGAUUAGAAACCCUUGUAGUCCC
This 445-nucleotide ribosomal RNA is filed under the name uncultured organism. RNAcentral's name for it is "partial 16S ribosomal RNA". It matches the Rfam family "Bacterial small subunit ribosomal RNA", at positions 334 to 797 of the family's 1533-position model. The record is from RNAcentral.